CGGAAAUACGGUGAUUAUGUUGGAUGCGCAUCAGGAAAUACGGUAGUGGUGUGGUGAUGCGCGCUUUGAAAUACGGUAGCUGUGUCGCGCAAGAGCACCUGUGAUUACGGUACUUGCCGUGCCCAUUGGAAAAUACGGUACUUGUGCGCAUGCGCGUUUAGUUCUGCCGUUGGAAUUACGGUAGUUGUGGUGCGCAUGCGGAGAUACGACAUUGGCGCGAUACACUCUUGGAAAUACGGUAGUCAUGGCGCGCAGGCGCGUUCGGAAACGGUAGUGAGAUGCGCAUGCGCACUGGGAAACACUGGAAUUACGGCACUCGGAUGGGAUGCGCGUUUGUAAUUACGGUAGCUCUGCUUGUAUGCGCAUAUGCAAUUACGGUAGUUGUGAUGCGCAAGAAUAUUUGGAAAUGCGGUGGAUUUGGAUGCGCAUUUGGAAUUACGGACCCUCCACACCACACCCAUGGCCUGCAACAACAUCUGCCGUCCCUGCGGACCCACCCCGCUGGCCAACAGCUGCAACGAGCCCUGUGCCCUGCAAUGCCAGGAUUCCCGUGUUGUUAUCCAGCCUUCCCCUGUGCUGGUCACCCUGCCAGGACCCAUCAUGACCUCCUUCCCCCAGAACACCGCUGUUGGAUCCACCUCCUCGGCUGCCGUGGGCACUGAACUCAGUGUGCAGGGACAGCCCAUCUCUGGUGGAUUUGGUGGAUUUGGUGGCUUUGGCUACGGCCUUGGCUAUGGCCGUGGAUUUGGCUACGGGCUGGGCUGUGGCUAUGGGCUGGGAGGCCUGGGCUGCUAUGGCAGAAGGGGUGGCUACAUCUGCUAAGGGCCCUUGGCAGCAACCCUGACACCAACCCUCAGCUCCCUGGAACACAUCUCAGGCAUUGAGGACUCCUCUCUGGUCCAAGGCUCUCAGAUGGACUCAGCGCUUCCAGCUCCUGCUCUCAGGGCACCAAGCAAGGCAGCAGACAGGGGUCAAGCCCAGGCUGCCCUGCAAUCAUGGCCCAUCUGCCUCCUGCUCUUCUCCCACUCCGUGUUCUGCAUGGAUUCUUUGGUUCUGUCCAGCUCCCUCUGGACAAACACGUUCUCCCAAGCCGGAGAUCUUCGGGCAGCUCUGCUGGGCUGCUCCCAUUGCAGGGCAGGAAGUUCUUGAUGCUCUGGCCAAAGCUUCUCAAUGGUUGGACUUUGGCUGAUGGUCACCCUGAUCACAACCCGGACCAACUCCCUUCUGCUGCUCCUGAGUUUUCACUCUUCUACCUCAAUAAAGUUUUCUUGCAUCACA
Molecule: long non-coding RNA, 1278 nt
Filed under: Parus major (Great Tit)
Lineage: Eukaryota; Metazoa; Chordata; Aves; Passeriformes; Paridae
Description: lncRNA (ENSPMJG00000013216.1)
Source: RNAcentral